GUUUAUCCGUUUGAUUAUUAGAAGCGCAGACAUGGCACGCACACUCGCCCGCUCGCUCGGUAACGUCGUCUGGAAACGUGAACACCUGCGAAGAGGGGCGGAGAGAAAACGUGAGCUCAUUUGAAUGCAGACAAAGAACGGACUUGUCCUGAGAGCUGAAACUGGGUUUCAUCAAACGGCGCUGGAAAUCCUCUCUGGUGUCAUUUUCACACGUAUUAAGAGCUUAAACAGCUGGCACGCGCGUUACACGCCAACGUUACACCCCAACUAUUUACUGAAAAAUAAUUAUAGUAUUCAAAAUGAGGAAACGAGCAGAAACUGACAGUACUACUCUUUUUUUUUUUUAUUGUAUUAGUUAUUUAAAAAGAAAUGAAUAAUAUUUUUCAUAGUCCCCCCCCCAGUGAUUCAGUGAUGGAUCAUAUAACCCUGAAAUCAUUUCCAAAAAAUUUGGGACACUGUAAAAUUAGUGCCUAUGGAAUGUACAGCUUGCACAUCUGGAAAGGCAUCAGUUGAAUAACAACUUUUUUUGGACUAAAAUAAUGACGAUUCGCUUUUCUGAGACAUCACUGACAUUAUUAUUAUUAUUAUUAUUAUUAUUAUUAUUA
This is a long non-coding RNA of Ictalurus punctatus (channel catfish), 605 nucleotides long. RefSeq lists it as uncharacterized. The record is from RefSeq and is a predicted model, not a curated record. The transcript is spliced from 2 exons. Lineage: Eukaryota; Metazoa; Chordata; Actinopteri; Siluriformes; Ictaluridae.